CCGACUGUCUCUUGAGUGAUUGUCGAACUUCACUUCUAGGUGAAAAGGCCUAGAUGAUUCUGGAGGACGAUCAGACCCUGUAGAGCUUUAAUUGAUAUCCUUAUUAUAGUGUAGCAGAAUGUUAUAUAAGUAAGAGGGUUUAAUUUUGGUUGGG
This 154-nucleotide ribosomal RNA is filed under the name Cercopagis pengoi. RNAcentral's name for it is "partial 16S ribosomal RNA". The record is from RNAcentral. Lineage: Eukaryota; Metazoa; Arthropoda; Branchiopoda; Diplostraca; Cercopagididae.